GAUGAACGCUGGCGGCGUGCCUAAUACAUGCAAGUCGAGCGAACAGACGAGGAGCUUGCUCCUCUGACGUUAGCGGCGGACGGGCGAGUAACACGUGGAUAACCUACCUAUAAGACUGGGAUAACUUCGGGAAACCGGAGCUAAUACCGGAUAAUAUAUUGAACCGCAUGGUUCAAUAGUGAAAGACGGUUUUGCUGUCACUUAUAGAUGGAUCCGCGCCGCAUUAGCUAGUUGGUAAGGUAACGGCUUACCAAGGCAACGAUGCGUAGCCGACCUGAGAGGGUGAUCGGCCACACUGGAACUGAGACACGGUCCAGACUCCUACGGGAGGCAGCAGUAGGGAAUCUUCCGCAAUGGGCGAAAGCUUGACGGAGCAACGCCGCGUGAGUGAUGAAGGUCUUCGGAUCGUAAAACUCUGUUAUUAGGGAAGAACAAAUGUGUAGGUAACUAUGCACGUCUUGACGGUACCUAAUCAGAAAGCCACGGCUAACUACGUG
Molecule: ribosomal RNA, 497 nt
Filed under: uncultured bacterium
Lineage: Bacteria
Description: partial 16S ribosomal RNA
Rfam family: Bacterial small subunit ribosomal RNA
Source: RNAcentral